Molecule: long non-coding RNA, 341 nt
Filed under: Fukomys damarensis (Damara mole-rat)
Lineage: Eukaryota; Metazoa; Chordata; Mammalia; Rodentia; Bathyergidae
Description: lncRNA (ENSFDAG00000030052.1)
Source: RNAcentral
UGGUCAAGUGAGGGCUAAGAAAUGCUAUGCAACAAAAAAUUUCAGAUUGGUUGAGGCAUCAGAAUGCCUCCUGGGGCAUAUGAAGUAUGGGCCAUUGGACAGACAGACCAGUGCUCUUCUAAGAUAAAGAGGGAGCAAGCAAGACAAGUGAUGUUGUCAUCUUGCCCUGUGCAUGUCAGGAUGCCAUCUAAGGAAAAUGUACGGGCCUACAAAUAUACCUAUAAUCAUGAGGAGGUGGAGCAGAAGAGAAGGGAGAAUACCUGGAUCAAAAGGUUAUUGUCAUAAACAAUAUGUUGGAAGACCUGUAUAGUCAGAAAACAUGAAUAUAUUUUGUACACCAG